This 76-nucleotide transfer RNA is filed under the name Flavobacteriales bacterium. RNAcentral's name for it is "tRNA-Phe". It matches the Rfam family "tRNA". Rfam says of the family: Transfer RNA (tRNA) molecules are approximately 80 nucleotides in length. Their secondary structure includes four short double-helical elements and three loops (D, anti-codon, and T loops). Lineage: Bacteria; Pseudomonadati; Bacteroidota; Flavobacteriia; Flavobacteriales. The record is from RNAcentral.
GGUGCCAUAGCUCAGUUGGUAGAGCAACGGACUGAAAAUCCGUGUGUCGCUGGUUCGAAUCCAGCUGGCACCACUA